ACACGAGUUGUCCAUUUUUCUUCAUAGAAAAACAAACAAAUCUCUUCUUCUUCCUCCUCAAUUCUCUCUCCAAACGCUACUCCCUCUUUCUCUCUCUCAAUAACUCCUCUCUUUCUCUGUCUCUGAUUCUGUUUGAAAAGCUUGCUGCGCACAGAUCUGCAUUGUUCUUAUCUUGAGAAUUCCAUCCCACAGAGAGACUUUACGAUUAAGAAUUUUUUAUUAGAGAUUUAUAAUGAAAAUGUCAGGGACCUGCUGAACUCAUAAUCAGAAAGGUGCUGUGGUCGAGAAGUUGGUAGAAGAAACAACAACCAAUGAUCAGCAUUUGAGGCAUCUUAUAAGUAUGUGUGACUAGUGAAGAACUGUAUCUUUGCGUUGGCCUUUCUGAAAUCACCCAUGAUUUUCAGAAUUUUGUAGACCUUGCUGGAAGUGAAAGAGCUUCACAGACACAUGCAGAUGGGGCGAGGCUCAAAGAAGGCGAUCAUAUCAAUCUUAGUUUGAUAACUCUGAGAACUGUGAUAAGAAAGCUCAGUGUUGCGAAAAGAAGCGGUCACAUACUUCUACAAUAUGUGGAGAUGUUUCAGCAAAGGAAGGAACUCCAGGCUAUCGUCAUUCUAUUUCAGUUAAUAUGAAGAAAAUGCAGAAGAUGGUUUAGAAUGCAGCAGAGGAGACUGUGAGAAGCAUAAGAGCUUAUGUGACAGAAUUGAAGGAACCUGUUGCCAAACUGCAAUACCAAAAGCAGCUACUUGUUUGCCAGGUCAUUGAGCUCGAAGCAAAUGAAGCGGCAUUUGGCAGAAAUUGGCAAUUCAAGCCCUGCUCCCCAUGUUGGAGAUGAGCUUACAAUUUUUAUCGUCACGGUUUUUAGCCCACGAACUUACACGGACUGACACAUUGAUUGCAGCUGUUAAUAUCCAUUGAAUGCUUAAACUAAUUCUCUUUUAUGUCUUGCUUAAACUAACUCGAGCAAUGAGACGUGAAAGAGAGUUUCUCGCAAAGAGGUUGACUUCACGUUUAGAGGCAAAGCUUGUAGGAUUCUGCGAGAAUUCCAUUUGAGCUAAAUUUUGCACUAUCAACAGAUAACAGACCCUGGAUUUUGGAGUGGAACCCAAUUUCAAACCUUCUACAUUUGUGACAAUUGCAUUUUUUAUUUAUUCUACUUAUCCGGUUUAGAGAUACUAAGCGAACUUCUUUGGAUUUUUAGGACUAGUUUAGUUAAUUUUUUAUUUGAUUUUGUUGAGGCUUUUAAGCCAUGGUUGUAAUUAAUUUCCCUUAAUCGUCCCGAUCUCUUUAAUCCCUUUCGGGAUUUA
This is a long non-coding RNA of Ricinus communis (castor bean), 1304 nucleotides long. RefSeq lists it as uncharacterized. Lineage: Eukaryota; Viridiplantae; Streptophyta; Magnoliopsida; Malpighiales; Euphorbiaceae. The transcript has 6 exons. The record is from RefSeq and is a predicted model, not a curated record.